CCUACGGGUGGCAGCAGUGGGGAAUAUUGCACAAUGGGGGAAACCCUGAUGCAGCGACGCCGCGUGAGGGAAGACGUAAUUCGUUAUUUAAAGCUCUAUUUGCAGGGAAGAAAAUGACGAUACCUGAGUAAGAAGCCCCGGCUAAAUACGUGCCAGCAGCCGCGGUAAUACGUAGGGUGCAAGCGUUAUCCGGAUUUACUGGGUGUAACGGGUGCGCAGGCGGCACGGCAAGCCUGAGGUGAAAGCCCGCGGCCCAACCGCGGGACUGCAUUGGGAACUGCCGGGCUGGAGUGGCGGGGAGGUAGGCGGAAUUCCUGGUGUAGCGGUGAAAUGCGUAGAGAUUAGGAGGAACAUCAGUGGCGAAGGCGGCUAUCUGGCACAUAACUGACGUUGAGGAGCGAAAGCGUGGGGAGCAAACAGGAUUAGAUACCCGAGUAGUC
Molecule: ribosomal RNA, 440 nt
Filed under: uncultured bacterium
Lineage: Bacteria
Description: partial 16S ribosomal RNA
Rfam family: Bacterial small subunit ribosomal RNA
Source: RNAcentral